CCCAUAUGCAUAUAUGUAGAGUCUGGAUCCAAUCGGUUCGAAUGAUUGUGAUGCGAAGGCGUGUCCAAAUAUGCAAACACGCGAGCUGGAUUUUUUCGGAAACUUUCAUGACUUGAGGUUCCCUUGCGGUAACACUAGACAAAAACAAACGGAGGAAGUAGAAAGCAUCAUGCCUGGUGCCGGUUGGAAGUAACAUCAAGAGCUACAGACUAUCAAUUUUGCACAUCUUGAAGAGAAAUUAAAACAAACAAUGGAAUGUAGCAAAGUGGACAUUAUACUUGAUGAGUGCUGAAUAUGAAGAUUUUUUGAACAGCGCACUUCUUUUUAACAUGAUGGAGUUGCAAAAAGUUACCACAGUUCUAUGGACAUGAUGGACAACUAAAGGAGAAUAGUUUCAUUUGUCAAAGGACAACUAAAGGAGAAUAAUUUCAUUUGUCAAAGAACAACUGAAGGAGAAUAAUUUCAUUUGUCAAAGGACAGGAGACUUUCCAUGCCCUAAGAUUUUAAAAGCUGAAAUUGGAAAAUAAGAUGCAGAGAACCAUUCAUGAAGUAUAUAUAUGAUACUGAUAUUUACAAUUUUCUGCAGAGCUAUAACUCCAGCCCUUUAGAUUACAUUACACUACUAUUGCUUGCUAAUUCUACCAUCAAUAGCAGGAGUAGAGAGGAGAUUCAGCACUAUGAAUGAUCUUUGCAAUUUGCUGUGGAUGAUGACUAAAUCAAAUUUGGAUGCAUUGAUGAAAUUCAUAUAGCGAUGACAGUUACUUCAUUGAACAAGAAAAAGCUGUAAAUAUUUUCAAUGGUGCAAAACAAACAAGUUAUAAUGAACUAUAAAAUGAUUAAAACUGUGUUGAGUUUUCAAUUUGUUUAAAAAGUGACAACAUUUACCUAAUGAAAUAUAAUGAACACCAAAGAUGCUAUCAUUUGGAUUGAUUGUAAAGUUUA
This is a long non-coding RNA of Mytilus californianus (California mussel), 942 nucleotides long. RefSeq lists it as uncharacterized. The transcript is spliced from 4 exons. Lineage: Eukaryota; Metazoa; Mollusca; Bivalvia; Mytilida; Mytilidae. The record is from RefSeq and is a predicted model, not a curated record.